Molecule: ribosomal RNA, 1525 nt
Filed under: Candidatus Gottesmanbacteria bacterium GW2011_GWA1_34_13
Lineage: Bacteria; Candidatus Gottesmaniibacteriota
Description: bacterial SSU rRNA
Rfam family: Bacterial small subunit ribosomal RNA
Source: RNAcentral
UGAGAGUUUGAUCCUGGCUCAGGAUGAACGCUGGCGGUAUGCCUUAGGCAUGCAAGUCGAAUGGUUUUGUCGCAAGGCAAGACAAUGGCAGACGGGUGAGUAAUGAUAAGGAACGUACCCUGAAAUGAAGGAUAGCUCGCCGAAAGGCGGGGUAAUCCUGCAUAGUCUCCGACGUAAGUCGGAGUAAAGAGCUUAACUGCUCGUUUUAGGAGCGGCCUUAUUCCUAUCAGCUAGUUGGUGAGGUAACGGCUUACCAAGGCUAUGACGGGUAGGGGAUGUGAGAGCAUGACCCCCCACAAUGGCACUGAGACACGGGCCAUACACCUACGGGUGGCAGCAACUAGGAAUAGUUGUCAAUGGACGAAAGUCUGAACACGCGAUACCGCGUGAGGGAUGAAGUAUCUCGGUAUGUAAACCUCUUUUGACUAGCCGUCGAGGCUAGUAGAAUAAGCACCUACAAACUACGUGCCAGCAGUCGCGGUAAUACGUAGGGUGCAAGCGUUAUCCGGAUUUAUUGGGCGUAAAGUGUCGCGUAGGCGACUUCUUGUGUUAUACCUUAAAUGGUAAGGCUCAACCUUGCUUUUGGGUAUAAAACUAAGAAGAUAUUGAAGGAGAGAAGGGUACCUGGAACUGACGGUGUAGCAGUGAAAUGCGUUGAUAUCGUCAGGAACACCAAAGGCGAAGGCAGGGUACUGGCUCUUUCUUGACGCUGAGGCACGAAAGCUAGGGGAGCGAAGCAGAUUAGAGACCUGCGUAGUCCUAGCCCUAAACGCAUGGAUGCUAGAUACCUCAACUCAAAGCGCAGCUUUGAGAAAUUCGAAUUUUGAAUUUUCUCAAAAAGCAGCUGCUUUUUGAGUUGAGGUGUCGUAAGCUAACGCGUUAAGCAUCCCGCCUGGGGAGUACGAUCGCAAGAUUAAAACUCAAAGGAAUUGACGGGGACCCGCACAACCAGUGGAGCAUGUGGUUCAAUUCGAGACGAAGCGAAAGACCUCACCAAGAUUUGACAUGUAACUGCAUACCCAAGAAAUUGGGUAGCCUUCGAGGGUGUUACAAAGCUGCUGCAUGGCCGUCGUCAGCUCGUGCCGUGGGGUGUUGGCUUAAGUGCCAGAACGAGCGCAACCCCUAUCCAAUGUUAAAUAAUCAUUGGAGACAGUCCCGACUUUUUGUCGGGAAGGAAGGAAGGGACGACGUCAGGUCAGCACGGCGCCUAUGUCUUGGGCCACACACAUCCUACAAUGGCGAAAAACAACGAGAUGCUAGCACGCGAGUGUAAGCCAAUCUCUGAAAUUUCGCCUCAGUUCAGAUUGCAGUCUGCAACCCGACUGCAUGAAGCCGGAAUUGGUAGUAAUCGCAGAUCAGCAUGGCUGCGGUGAAUACGUUCUCGGGUCUUGUACACACCGCCCGUCAAGCCAACAAAGUUGGAGGCAGCCGAAGUCCGGCCUAGCCGGAUGAAGCUGAAUUCAGCGAUGGGGACUAAGUCGUAACAAGGUAUCCCUAGCCGAAGCUGGGGAUGGAUCACCUCCUU